This 289-nucleotide long non-coding RNA is filed under the name Daucus carota (carrot). RNAcentral's name for it is "long non-coding RNA (DCAR_LNC006813)". The record is from RNAcentral. Lineage: Eukaryota; Viridiplantae; Streptophyta; Magnoliopsida; Apiales; Apiaceae.
UCCGAAGCCGCUGAGUCUAUAGAUGAUGGAUUCAUGGUCUCUGCAGGUUCAUUCAUAGGGUUUAAGGCCACAGUUGGUGUAGAAGUAGAACCACGCUUCUUCAUAUUAGAACUCUGAAUUGGUGGGGAUUAUAUACACAAGAGCAAGAUUAUAUAUAUGAACAAAAAUAUAUAGAUUCUAUUGUCAAACAAUGCAAGGUAAUUAAAAAAGUUACGAACCAGAGAGAACAGGGAAGGGUUUUACUGGAUACUAAAUCUCAAUUUUUUGUAUCUGGCACAAGAAAGGAAAU